CCUACGGGAGGCAGCAGUGAGGAAUAUUGGGCAAUGGGGGCAACCCUGACGCAGCCAUGCCGCGUGAGUGAAGAAGGUCUUCGGAUUGUAAAGCUCUUUCGGCCGUGACGAUGAUGACGGUAGCGUCUAAAGAAGCACCGGCUAACUUCGUGCCAGCAGCCGCGGUAAUACGAAGGGUGCGAGCGUUGUUCGGAUUUAGUGGGCGUAAAGGGAGUGUAGGCGGGAAUGUAAGAUAGUUGUGAAAUACCUGGGCUCAACUGAGGAACUGCCAUUAAGACUAGCUGUCUGGAGUUCUGGUGAGGAAAGUGGAAGUCGGAGUGUAGCGGUGAAAUGCUUAGAUAGUAGGAGGAAAAGCGGUGGCGAAGGCGACUUUCUGGACAGUAAAUGACGUUGAGGCACGAAAGUGUGGGGAGCAAACAGGAUUAGAGACCCGUGUAGUC
RNAcentral lists this ribosomal RNA (440 nucleotides) under uncultured bacterium. RNAcentral's name for it is "partial 16S ribosomal RNA". It matches the Rfam family "Bacterial small subunit ribosomal RNA", at positions 338 to 795 of the family's 1533-position model. The record is from RNAcentral.